UGUAAGCGUAUACCCAAGUUGUUGCAGUUAAAACGCUCGUAGUCGGAUUUUGGUGGGCGAGCCGGGGCGUCUUCGCGGACGGACCUGGAUCGGCCGCCUUUGUGGAGGGGGGCUCGGGGCCGCUUGAGUGCGGGCUCGUUGUCGCUGCCACCGUUUACUGUGAAAAAUUAGAGUGUUCAAAGCGGGCGUUUGCCAUGAAUACCUUAGCAUGGAAUAAUAGAAUAGGACCUGUGUUCUGUUUUAUUGGUUUGUGAGGACCGGGUAAUGAUUAAGAGGGACGGUUGGGGGCAUUUGUAUUCCGGCGUCAGAGGUGAAAUUCUUGGAUUGUCGGAAGACAAACGGCUGCGAAAGCGUCUGCCAAGGACGUUUUCAUUGA
RNAcentral lists this ribosomal RNA (376 nucleotides) under uncultured eukaryote. RNAcentral describes it as "partial 18S ribosomal RNA". It matches the Rfam family "Eukaryotic small subunit ribosomal RNA", at positions 592 to 976 of the family's 1831-position model. The record is from RNAcentral.